AAUGUUGACAUUUUGCUUUUGUACAGACAGUCGCACUGAUGAGUUGCGUUUAAAAAAAAACAAAUAUAAGAAAAGCAAGAAGUUCCUCAAAUUCUGACAAAUCGUCUGGUCCGCGCGGUCCGUUUUCUUUCGAUGUCGUUCACAAGAGGUCAUGGAUGCCGGCACUAAUUCUACUCCCGCACCACUCAAUAAAUUCUUUCACGGCGGACGUGGCGGAUUCAAGUUUAUCGUAACGAUGUGCUUGAGGAUGUGCUGCUGCCUACGAUGUUCAACACGUCGUGUGACUACCUGCAUCAUGCUCCCUCCGGAACUCAUGUACUGCAGCUGGAACAACAACAUCGGAUGAAUAGCCAUUUAACGACAGAUGCCAAGAAUCAAUCAGACACUGCUCGCAAGGAAGCCGGCACCAAGGUUACUCAGUAGGCAUCUGUCGAAUGUGACAACGAGACCAAUUUAAUCGGAUUAAAUGAGUAUUUUGACGGCAUGGACCAAGGCAUGGACUAUAUUUUAGGGCCGAGGAAAUAAGGAAUCAUAAAAUUAUUGAGUUUCCGACGGACUGAAUCAUCUACGACAGGAAAAUUCGUAAUUUAAAGAGAAGCGUUUGAAUCCGUAUGAAGAAACGUUACGCUGGUUGGAUCCAAGAAAACACGAUUCUGGCAACGGGCCAGACUGACUAAAAUACCGGAAGUUGGAUACAACCAAGAUACGAUGGAUAGUUUUGGUUCAGUCAGGAGUUUUGUUGUUGUAUACGGAGGAUCUCAGGUCGUUGGACAGAAAUCUUUCCACACGUCUCAAAAUGGGCACAAUUUCAGUUACACAUUUUUGCACAUGCACAUUUGUUCGUAUUAUUUUAAAGUUAUUUAUAUCAAUUAUUAUUUCAUUUUAAUUUAAUUUUAAUUAAGCUUCGAUUUAGUUUUAAUUUAGUUUUAAUUGAGUUUUAAUUGAGUUUAAAUUUAGUUUAAAUUUAGUUUUAAUUAAGUUUUAAUUUAUUUUUAAUUUACGUUUAAUUCACUUUUAAUUUACUUUUAAUUUAAUUUUAAUUUAGUAUUAAUUUACCGUCGUCGGGGGUGAGAAUGGGUCACGGUUUCAACUACUUAGAAUGCUUGUAGAAUGGAUUGAAUGUAUCUUAGGGCAAGAAGACUUAAAUAUAAGAGACCUUUUUGAACGUUUUUUCUCUACGACCUCCAGGCUGCCGGUGAGAGCGAUGACUCAUUCUCACCCCCCAGACUUAUUUGGGCUUAUUCUACGAGUGGAGUAACGUGAGAGUGCUCGAAUGACGUGAGAAAACUCAAACUGAAUUAAAACUAAAUAAAGCCCCAUUUGAAU
Long non-coding RNA from Armigeres subalbatus, 1326 nucleotides. RefSeq lists it as uncharacterized. The record is from RefSeq and is a predicted model, not a curated record. Lineage: Eukaryota; Metazoa; Arthropoda; Insecta; Diptera; Culicidae. The transcript is spliced from 5 exons.